Molecule: ribosomal RNA, 549 nt
Filed under: uncultured bacterium
Lineage: Bacteria
Description: bacterial SSU rRNA
Rfam family: Bacterial small subunit ribosomal RNA
Source: RNAcentral
UGGGGAAUAUUGGACAAUGGGGGGAACCCUGAUCCAGCCAUGCCGCGUGUGUGAAGAAGGCCUUAUGGUUGUAAAGCACUUUAAGCAGUGAAGAAUACAUCAUGGCUAAUAUCCGUGAUGAAUGACAUUAGCUGCAGAAUAAGCACCUGCUAACUCUGUGCCAGCAGCCGCGGUAAUACAGAGGGUGCGAGCGUUAAUCGGAAUUACUGGGCGUAAAGCGAGCGUAGGUGGUUUAUUAAGUCAGAUGUGAAAUCCCUGGGCUUAACCUAGGAACUGCAUCUGAUACUGACAAACUAGAGUAGGUGAGAGGAAAGUAGAAUUCCAGGUGUAGCGGUGAAAUGCGUAGAGAUCUGGAGGAAUACCGAUGGCGAAGGCAGCUUUCUGGCAUCAUACUGACACUGAGGUUCGAAAGCGUGGGUAGCAAACAGGAUUAGAUACCCUGGUAGUCCACGCCGUAAACGAUGUCUACCAGUCGUUGGGUCUUUUAAAGACUUAGUGACGCAGUUAACGCGAUAAGUAGACCGCCUGGGGAGUACGGCCGCAAGGUUA